Mangifera indica (mango) is the source of this 730-nucleotide long non-coding RNA. RefSeq lists it as uncharacterized. The transcript is spliced from 2 exons. The record is from RefSeq and is a predicted model, not a curated record. Lineage: Eukaryota; Viridiplantae; Streptophyta; Magnoliopsida; Sapindales; Anacardiaceae.
AGUAUUGUCACCAUCCACUUUACCCCAACAAACAAACCCACUCUCCCAAUCCUGCAAGCCUAUCAUUUCUUCUUACCUAUCAUCUCUCACCUUUUUAUCGCAUGCCUAGUCUCCCUGUAUCACCAUUACUAUUGCCACCAAGUCAUUGUAACUCUUAGAGGCCUUAGAUCUUGGUUCUCACUAAAACACUAAUGUUUUUCGUUGCAUUCUCACCAAAAAACUCAGACACUCGGUGGGAAGCAUUGGUUGUUGGCCAAAACAGAGGAGAGAAAAAAUCCUCAAGGUACUGUUAUUACUGCCUUAGGACACGUUGUGCUGCAGCUGCAUCGUUUCGGUGUUCCAGAUGCAGCGAGCCAGUAAUUGCAAUGCAGCGGUAUGGUGUAGUUGAUCAUAAAGUUCCAAGUCAAUGAUACUUGUAUAGGAAGUAGAGAAAAGAAAAAGUCAUAUCAACUUAGACUACUUUAAAAAAAAGAGCCUGUUUAUGGCAAACAAGUUUAUUAGAGAAAUUACAAGCUUAGUUCAAAAUAUUUUCCUUCCAAAGGGUGGGGAUUGAGGGGAGGGGGGCUUCUCAAUUGUUUAGCAAUCUAACACUUGUCUCGGAUAGCACCUAGUUUUAGUUCGUGUGGACAAGUCAGACUUGGCUCUGGUUUGCACAAGAUGUUUGGCUAGACUCUCCUAAACGACAUCAUUCAUUUCAAUUUUUUUCUAAUGAUGUGAAAGCUAAGCACAA